This 215-nucleotide long non-coding RNA is filed under the name Elaeis guineensis (African oil palm). RNAcentral describes it as "long non-coding RNA (EGUI_LNC024981)". Lineage: Eukaryota; Viridiplantae; Streptophyta; Magnoliopsida; Arecales; Arecaceae. The record is from RNAcentral.
GUAGAAAAGGAGAAGUCCCAUGUGAUUUAUAAGAUUGAGUUCAGAAAGUCUUUGACCAAAGUAAGUAUGAAUACUGAAAAAAAAUUUCAUGGAAUUCACAAAUGAACUCGAGUCAAGCCAAUCUUACAUAAGACUGACGAUGGGGUUUGACGAGUUCUCUAUGACCUCCGUCAAGUUGAGACUCAUGAUAAAAAGAUUAAAUCAUACGAUAACUA